RNAcentral lists this transfer RNA (73 nucleotides) under Felis catus (domestic cat). It matches the Rfam family "tRNA". Rfam says of the family: Transfer RNA (tRNA) molecules are approximately 80 nucleotides in length. Their secondary structure includes four short double-helical elements and three loops (D, anti-codon, and T loops). Further hydrogen bonds mediate the characteristic L-shaped molecular structure. tRNAs have two regions of fundamental functional importance: the anti-codon, which is responsible for specific mRNA codon recognition, and the 3' end, to which the tRNAs corresponding amino acid is attached (by aminoacyl-tRNA synthetases). tRNAs cope with the degeneracy of the genetic code in two manners: having more than one tRNA (with a specific anti-codon) for a particular amino acid; and 'wobble' base-pairing, i.e. permitting non-standard base-pairing at the 3rd anti-codon position. RNAcentral also lists the same sequence under 2 other names. Lineage: Eukaryota; Metazoa; Chordata; Mammalia; Carnivora; Felidae. The record is from Rfam by way of RNAcentral.
GCCUGGCUGGCUUAGUCAGCGGAGCAUGUGACUCUUCAUCUCAGAGUUAUGAGUUCAAGUCCCAUGUUGGGCA